Long non-coding RNA from Eupeodes corollae, 4710 nucleotides. RefSeq lists it as uncharacterized. NCBI's taxonomy places the organism in Eukaryota, Metazoa, Arthropoda, Insecta, Diptera, Syrphidae. The transcript is spliced from 3 exons. The record is from RefSeq and is a predicted model, not a curated record.
CCAAUAAAAAAUGCAACAGCCAACAACAUCACCAACAGCAACACAUUAACAAUAGUACUACCACCAACAACAACAACAACAUUCAAAAUUUUAACAACAAUAAUACGAUCAGUACUACAAAUGACAACAAUAUUAAAACUAAAACACAAUAUUACUAUACCAACAACAAUAACAACUACAACAGCAACUAUUACAAUUACAAUUACAACAACAACAAAAGUAAAAGCAUAUUUUUCCAUAAUGUGAAACGUAGAACAAUUCACCAGCUCCUCCAUCAUCGACCAAUUUUAAUUCAAUUAAUCACAUUAAUUUUAUGGAUAUUCACAAAAAUACGUGCAAUGCUCUAUAAUACCAUACCAAGGCGGUUGCAAUAAAUAUUAUUUCAAACAAAAUAAACAAAAAUAAAUAAACAACCUUAUUAUUAUUUAAACAAACAAAAAUUGGACACAAUAAAUACAUUAACUUAUUAACUUUGAAAAGAAAAAUGUCCCAACUUUUGAAUUAUUGUAUUGUAAAAUUGGAUAAGAGAAACAUUUCAAAAUUCUUUUGAAAAUAUCCUUGAAUUAGAAAAAAAUAAAAAAGGAAAAACUAUCCAAAAAACAUUUUACAAAAAAAAAACAAAACAACAUGUUUUCUUAUUUCAAUUUCAAACUCAACAACACUUCUUAUCGUUGUUGAAGUUCUUCUUCUACAAUGGCAACGCUUUUAUUGUUGCUGUUUUCCCAAAACUAUUUUCUUUUACUUUUACUUUUCAUUUCUUUUUUUAAUUUUUGUGUUACUCCCUUUUAUUUAUGAUUUCUCUAACCAACCCAAAAGUUUUAAAAAAUGUAGAACUCUACAAACUUUCAUGGUUUCUUUUUUAUUUAGUCCUUUUUCUGUUAAGUAGACUGCUACUUUUAGGAAAACAAAAAACAAACAAAACCAACAACUCAACCAAAACGCACUCUUUAUACCACCCUGUUAACCUCUAUAUAAGAAUUUUUACAAGAAAGACAACUUUUUUCCAAAAAAUAAAACAACAAACAACUAAAACAAUGAAUAAAAGAGCACACAAACAAAAACAACGGAAUGAAAAAAAAUUGUUUAAGAAACUCAGUUGGCAACCAUUCUUUUCCAGAGAAGAUGAAAAAUUUAAGCAAACGCUCUCCUAACAAAAAAAAUACAAUGAUUUUUUAGCAAAUUUUUGAUAACAAAAAAAAUAAACUACUUAGAUAAAUAUUUAAAAAAUAAAAUACCAAAAAAACUAAAAAAAAGAAACAAAAUAUUUAUACAAAAAUACAAGUAAAUGCUAUUUCACCAACACCGCCUUUUUAUAAAAACGAAAAAAGUGUGUCCUUCUUUUAGAUGAUUUCUAAUUUCUAAUUUAUUAUAAUUUUAUAAAUUUUUAUUUAUUUUAAAUACAUUUUCUUUAAAACUUCCCACUUAAAAAAUAAAAAGCGUACAAAGCUUUUAGAUACGCAAUGAAUUUUCACCCCCUUGACAAAAACUCCCAAAAAAUACAACUUUGCUAAUAUUAGAAAAAUGAACCCUUUAGUUUUUGCUUGAGAUAAAUAAAAAAGUAAAUUAGAUGAAACAAAACAAAAAAAUUAGUAGAAACAAAUAAAAUUAAUUUAAUUAACAAAAAAACAUUAAUCAACUUGCGUAGAUUUUGAGCAUUAAACAUAAAAAGAAAACAACAAAUCAUUUAAAGCAAAACAAAAUAAUUAUUAUGAAUUACCAAAAGCAAAGUAAAAACAAAAAUGGUAUUUAUACAACUUUUUUUCCAGGUAGUGGGAAAUAUAUUAUACAAAAAUAAAAAUAAAAACUAUAUAGCGAAGCAAACAAAAAACAACUUAUAUAACAAAUAUAACCUUAAGUUUAAAUAAUUUUAAUAUUUUUAUUUUAAAAUUGUUUUUUAAUUUGAAUUCUUUUGAUUUUCUAAUUUUUAAAUAAAAUAAAAAGACAACAUGCCCAAAAAUAUGAGGUUAAGUCAUCAGUCAUUCAUCGUAAAUCAAUAUUUAUUAAUAACAAAACAAAAAAACAAAUGUGAAAUCAUUGAACUUAAAACAAAAACGAUUUGUUUUGUUUGAAACGAAAAUAAAAAAAAUUAAAUUUAAGUUUAUAAACAACAAACUAAAGUAUUAACAAAAAAAAAAACUUAGAAAAGUCGAAAUGUAGAGGUUUAACGAACAAAACAAAAUAUUAUUUAACGAUUUAAAUGGAAAAUAAAUAAAAAGCAUAAAACAUAAACUUAUGUAAGAGUAGCAGUUUGAAAAGAAAAUAAUUAUUAAAAAAUUAUGAAGCAUAAUAAUUAUUAUUAUUAUUAAGUAAAGUUAUAAUAUUAUAUUUUGAAUUUUUUCAAUAAAAAAUAAAACAAAGGAAUUAAUGGAAAAAUAAAUAAAGCAAAUCAGCUUUCAAAUGUAAAACAGAAUAAACUUAAACAAAACAAAUAAAAAAUCAAGAAAUCACCUGAAGACGAAUGAAGUACCAAAAAAAGUGAUGGAAGUCCAAGUUUCCAUUCCAUCGGAAAAGGCGUUAUGAGGCACAACACUUUUGUUGGAGACAGAUUUGGGAUUAUAAUGACUGCUGGCAGAAGUUUCACGCGAGGGCUUGAGAGAACACAUAAUUACUAAAUUCAAUUCAUUGGAUUCUUCAAUUACCGAAAAACACUAAAUUCGUCAAAAUUGUGAAUUUUAUUUCUUACAUUUGACGAAUUCACAAGAAGCUGAUGAUGCCUAUGAAAAUGGAACUGAGAGUUAACUUCUAAUACCAUUCUUCUUAUCGUUGGAUAUUCUGUGAAAAUGUAUUUGGUACCAAAUUUUGGAAAUUCAUAAAUCUUUCAAAUUCACUAUUGAAUUUUGUAAACUGAACUGGAAAUGUCUAAACUUGGAACACCAAGAAUUUGAACUCAUCCAUUCAAAUUGCAAAACAUUUAAAUAUCUACAAAUUGUUUGAGAAUGGUUAGUCAACAAUUUGGACAGAAAAUUAAUUACAAAAUUCGGAGGAAAACAAAUCUGAGAUCUGAGUCGUGUGGGAAGCAAAGGAAAAUAAAGAUGGACUUAAAUUUCAACUCAAGAAAAUACUUAAAACGAAUUGUGAUCCAGACACAAUUCCAAAAGUAUUGAAAAAUGUUCUUUAAAAAAUUAUUAAAGCAGCAUAUUCAGAAGACAAAAGAAGAACACGAUCAUUUCAAUAUUUAAAGUUAUGUCAAUAUCACAACUUUGAUAGAAGAACAUCAAAUUGAAAUUUGGUACCAAUAAUCCAAUGGAAAGAAGUUAAAGAAAGGCAACAAAUUUUGAAUCUAGAAGAAAUAUUUGACAUUUUCAACAAAGAUAACAAAAAAUAAGUCAAAACAACUCAAUUCAUACGUUCUUAAAAGUCCAAAAUUGUGUUCAAAUUUGCUAUCAGAAAAAACUCUGUUCAUAAAACUCACUUAACAGAAAAUCAACGGCUGAUUCCCGUAUAUAGAAAAAAACUUGAAGGAUGACGUUGUUAAAAUUUCUGCUUUUGUGUUUUUUUGUUCAGAAAAAAUUUAAUAUAGCAAAAAAGCAGUCAUUUGAACCAAAAAAGCAACCUUGCACAUAUGCCGUUUGGAAAAAUGGUUUUUCAUCCAUCGAUCAACAUAUUGAAAUUUGGUACAUUUAAAUAAAAAGAAAAUUAAAACAAUGGACGAACAAUUAAUAAUAUGAAAUUAUUACUCUCUCUUACUUUUACGGAUGCGUCUUCAGUCCAUUACUCAAAAAUACAAAUAAAAAAAAAACUUAAAUGGGUUGGAUAUAAGUUUUGAUAAAAAAAAUCAGAAAAUAUUCUCAAAUCACAAAAAAUAAAACAAAAUUUUUAAAAAAUAUAUGCUCUUGAAAUAUAUUAAGUAUUUUACUUGAUUUGAUUGAGUGGUAUAUUUAAUUAGUAAAUGAAAAUAAAAACAAAAAAAUACAAAUUAUAUGCCAAGUAGAAUAUAAUUACAAAACAAAAAUUAAAUAAUUACAAAUUGUAGUUAAAUUAAGUCUCUCAAAACUAUAUAAAUAUUAAAAUAUUCAAAAAGUAAAAAAACAUCAAUGCACUUUCCGCAUCGAUGUUGUUUCGUUGAAAUUUUUUUUCAAAUCAAAGAAAAAUCAUAAACAAAAAAUCUUACCUUCUAUAAAUCACCUAUCCCAAAAAAAAACAAAAACUAGGUUAAGAUACUUCAAGGUAUCAGGAGAUAAGAUAUAAAAAAUACAAACAAUUAUAUAAGAUCAACUCAUUAUAUUCAAUAAACAAAAAAUAUUUAAUCAAAUUAAUCUUAUUCAAAAAAAAAAAAAACAAAGUUAUAAACUUAAAUAUUAUAUAUUGUACUUUAUCAAAUAAAAUACCAGUAACAACCAGUAAAAAAGAUCAAAUUACUAAAGAAGGAAUCGUAGUUUAGCAAAAAUUAAAUGUUUUUCUUGUUAAAUAUAUCAAAUAUUUAUUAAAUUAUAUAUAUACUAAAAAAAUAAGUAAAUAUCUUAAAAAGCGCGGUCUUGUCUCACCGGUCAACAACGUCGUCAUUUGUCUUGACUGCGUCAAAUCGAAAUUUGUAGCAUUUGGAUUGCAUCUUCCGAAACAACAUCAAGUUCUGAAUAAAAUAAAAACAAAACAAAAAACUUUCCCUCAAAAAUCAGCCGGAAGGAUUCAAGUGCCCAAAACAACAUCCAUCUCAACCACUCUCACGCCGGGAGUUGCCAGAUAAUCUUGAUUUAGGGCAUUCAACAAAAA